AUUGAACGCUGGCGGCAUGCUUUACACAUGCAAGUCGAACGGCAGCGCGGGCUUCGGUCUGGCCGCGAGUGGCGCACGGGUGUGUAAUGCAGCGGAACGUGCCCAGGAGUGGGGGAUAGCCCGGCGAAAGCCGGAUUAAUACCGCAUACGAUCUGGGGGUGAAAGCGGGGGAGCGAAACACCGUUCGCUCUCGGAGCUUCCGAUGUGGGGAUGGCUGGUUGGGGGGGUAAAGGCUUACCAGGGCACCGAUCCGUAGCUGGUCUGAGAGGCCGACCAGCCACCUUGGACUUGAGCACGGGCCAAGCUCCCAAGGGGAGGAAGAGGGGGGGAAUUUGGGAAAAUGGGGGAAACCCUGAUCAAGCAAGGCGGCGGGGGGGAAGAAGGCCUCCGGGUGGUAAACCGCUUUUGUUGGGGAAGAAAGCCUCUGGGCUAAUACGCGGGGGAGAGGACGGUACCGGAAGAAUAAGCACGGGCAACUUACGU
Molecule: ribosomal RNA, 483 nt
Filed under: uncultured bacterium
Lineage: Bacteria
Description: partial 16S ribosomal RNA
Rfam family: Bacterial small subunit ribosomal RNA
Source: RNAcentral